Molecule: ribosomal RNA, 506 nt
Filed under: uncultured bacterium
Lineage: Bacteria
Description: partial 16S ribosomal RNA
Rfam family: Bacterial small subunit ribosomal RNA
Source: RNAcentral
GAUGAACGCUAGCUACAGGCUUAACACAUGCAAGUCGAGGGGUAACGAGAGGAAAGCUUGCUCUCCUUGUCGACGACCGGCGCACGGGUGAGUAACGCGUAUCCAACCUGCCCCCAACUAGGGAAUAACCUUGCGAAAGUAAGACUAAUACCCUAUAAUUUCCUCAGAUGUCAUCUGACGAGGAAUAAAGAUUUAUCGGUUGUGGAUGGGGAUGCGUCUGAUUAGCUUGUUGGCGGGGGAACGGCCCACCAAGGCAACGAUCAGUAGGGGUUCUGAGAGGAAGGUCCCCCACAUUGGAACUGAGACACGGUCCAAACUCCUACGGGAGGCAGCAGUGAGGAAUAUUGGUCAAUGGGCGGAAGCCUGAACCAGCCAAGUAGCGUGCAGGAUGACGGCCCUAUGGGUUGUAAACUGCUUUUAUACAGGAAUAAAGUUAGCCACGUGUGGUUAUUUGUAGGUACUGUAUGAAUAAGGACCGGCUAAUUCCGUGCCAGCCGCCGCAGUAA